UACGUAGGGUGCAAGCAUUAAUCGGAUUUAUUGGGCGUAAAGGGCGCGUAGGCGGAAAUGCGAGUCAAUUGUGAAAUCCCGGGGCUCAACCCCGGAACUGCAUUUGAAACUACAUUUCUAGAGGGUAGGCGGAGAAAACGGAAUUCCACAAGUAGCGGCGAAAUGCGUAGAUAUGUGGAAGAACACCAGUGGCGAAGGCGGUUUUCUAGCUUAUACCUGACGCUGAGGCGCGAAAGCAAGGGGAGCAAACAGG
This 253-nucleotide ribosomal RNA is filed under the name uncultured bacterium. Its description in RNAcentral is "partial 16S ribosomal RNA". It matches the Rfam family "Bacterial small subunit ribosomal RNA", at positions 524 to 776 of the family's 1533-position model. The record is from RNAcentral.